UUUUGUAAUAAUUUUUUCUUAAUGUUUUUUCCACUUAUUACAUGCGUAUUGUCUCAAUAUUGUAAUUAAUGGAAUAGUUAUUUUGUUAAUGCUUUUGUAAAUAUUUUUUUUAAUGAUUUUUCACUUAUUACAAGCAUAUUUUAAGAAACAGGAAAUGAUUUUCACAAUGAGGUGCAAACAUUUCCGAAAAAAAGUUAUUUUUUAGUAACGGGAUAAU
Molecule: long non-coding RNA, 217 nt
Filed under: Lathyrus oleraceus (garden pea)
Lineage: Eukaryota; Viridiplantae; Streptophyta; Magnoliopsida; Fabales; Fabaceae
Description: Pisum sativum (pea) long non-coding RNA (PSAT_LNC039106)
Source: RNAcentral